RNAcentral lists this transfer RNA (68 nucleotides) under Pharnaciini sp. NS-2020. RNAcentral's name for it is "tRNA-Val". The record is from RNAcentral. Lineage: Eukaryota; Metazoa; Arthropoda; Insecta; Phasmatodea; Phasmatidae.
CAGAAUUUAGUUUAUAGAAAAUAAUUCAUUUACGUUGAGUUGAAUUAAAUGCAAUUUUUAAUUUCUGA